AGUGAACGCUGGCGGUAGGCCUAACACAUGCAAGUCGAACGGCAGCACAGUAAGAGCUUGCUCUUACGGGUGGCGAGUGGCGGACGGGUGAGGAAUACAUUGGAAUCUACUUUUUCGUGGGGGAUAACGUAGGGAAACUUACGCUAAUACCGCAUACGACCUACGGGUGAAAGCAGGGGAUCUUCGGACCUUGCGCGAUUGAAUGAGCCGAUGUCGGAUUAGCUAGUUGGCGGGGUAAAGGCCCACCAAGGCGACGAUCCGUAGCUGGUCUGAGAGGAUGAUCAGCCACACUGGAACUGAGACACGGUCCAGACUCCUACGGGAGGCAGCAGUGGGGAAUAUUGGACAAUGGGCGCAAGCCUGAUCCAGCUAUACCGCGUGGGUGAAGAAGGCCUUCGGGUUGUAAAGCCCUUUUGUUGGGAAAGAAAAGCAGCAGGUUAAUACCCCGCUGUUCUGACGGUACCCAAAGAAUAAGCACCGGCUAACUUCGUG
Molecule: ribosomal RNA, 492 nt
Filed under: uncultured bacterium
Lineage: Bacteria
Description: partial 16S ribosomal RNA
Rfam family: Bacterial small subunit ribosomal RNA
Source: RNAcentral